UGGAUUUUCCAGCAAAAAACAACUAUUAAAACGGAAGAGUGGAGGAAGGCCAGCUGCCCAGUCCCUCCUCUGCCUGCAGACUCUCUAAGUAAAGAAAACCAUCUGGUCUGCUGGGCCUGAGCCCAGGGCCCAGAGGAGGACCGCUAGUCCCUCUGAGCAACACUGCUUACUCCCCUGCCAGCCCCGUGGGCUUCUCCCAGCCUCGCUUGCUCCCACCUGGGACCAGACCCCUGGAAGCCUCUACCGAUGCCCAGGCAGGGGUGGCCUGUGCCAUCAUAGCGCUGGAAGAAAGGGUUUUGUUUUAUCUUACAACUCAGUUCACAUUCCAUCACUGAGGUUUCUGAGAUUAUCUUUAGUGAAGUGAUCUGAGCUGGUCACAGAGCCAGUCCUGGCUUACAUGGUCUUACACAAGAUGCUACACAUGUUGCCGUCUUCAGGUGACAUUGGAUUCGGGAGUUGAGUUGCAGAUUUUCCAUCUUUUCAUGCACUGGAAAAGGCUGGAGUGAUGCCAGGCUGACUUCUUCCAGCUCUGAGUCAGAGGCGGGCCAGCGUGAGCGUCUCUGCUUCUGCAGUGAUGCCCCGGACUGAUUGUUUCUAAGCACCUUUCCAGUUUCUCGUGUUCAUCUUGUUGUGUUUUCCUGACUCAGUAACUCCAGCCAUUUGAAUCUACUGAGGAUCACCUGUGUGCCGCAGGCUUCCUAAAAGGCUCAGGCUCUCAAGCUCCGACAUCGUGACCCCUUCUGGAGUUUUCCCUCUUCGUGACUCUUCUUCCUGCCCCUGAUUGCAUAUGUAUCUAAGUGUCAACCUUUAGCAAGUCCUGGACAGUGAUGGUUGUCCUGCACCGGGCUUUCUGGCAGACACAAUUGGCUUCAGGAAGAAGAAUAACUUUGCCUCUUGUUUUCUACUUCAUGCCU
Acomys russatus (golden spiny mouse) is the source of this 914-nucleotide long non-coding RNA. RefSeq lists it as uncharacterized. The transcript is spliced from 3 exons. The record is from RefSeq and is a predicted model, not a curated record. NCBI's taxonomy places the organism in Eukaryota, Metazoa, Chordata, Mammalia, Rodentia, Muridae.